UACGUAGGGUGCAAGCGUUAUCCGGAAUUAUUGGGCGUAAAGAGCUCGUAGGCGGUUUGUCGCGUCUGCUGUGAAAACUGGAGGCUCAACCUCCAGCCUGCAGUGGGUACGGGCAGACUAGAGUGCGGUAGGGGAGAUUGGAAUUCCUGGUGUAGCGGUGGAAUGCGCAGAUAUCAGGAGGAACACCGGAUGGCGAAGGCAGAUCUCUGGGCCGUAACUGACGCUGAGGAGCGAAAGCAUGGGGAGCGAACAGG
RNAcentral lists this ribosomal RNA (254 nucleotides) under uncultured bacterium. RNAcentral describes it as "partial 16S ribosomal RNA". It matches the Rfam family "Bacterial small subunit ribosomal RNA", at positions 524 to 776 of the family's 1533-position model. The record is from RNAcentral.